CAAUGUGAAUGUAUUCUUAGAAAAUGUGAAUCUGUGGUCUGGAAGAAUCAACAAGGUCACUAAAUGUGCAGUACUGUAAUUCUAUAAUCACGCGUCUGUAAACCAGAACUAAACAUACAUUAAAUUAACUGGCUGAAACUGAUUCAAAACACUCACUUAGCUCACAAAUGAGGAUCAUUUUAGUCCUCAAUAUGCCCCUGAAUAUAUAAUCUAAAUAAAUCUCAGUGUGGUGGAAAAUAUUGGUUACAGAAGCAGCUGCAAGGCCUUAAAAUCAGCACAUUGCCUCUCUAAAUCCUUGUCACGUCUGACACAGUAUCCUGCCACGGGUCGCUAGUCAGUAAGGAGAACAUCGCUGCCAGCUCCUCACUUUCCCGUCCUUCCUCCUGGGCUUUCCUCACCAAAGCAAACAACGAUAAGAUCAGAGUUUCUUACAAAUGCUUAUCAUCUGGACUUUGUGAGAGGUGUCUGUAGCCUGGGAGACAGCAGACUUCACUGCACCCAGUGGACUCCAGCAACACCAGGUUCUCCAGUUUGAUCCCACUGGCCACCUGCCAGCCGUCAAAGCCUUCAAAUUACUCUCACUCAUAAUGCCAAAGUCAAACCGCUCCAUGAGCUUUGGUGCCAUUGACCGAGGUCACCAGACCUUUUUCACCUAAGCAUGAUGCCUGCUGGGCACCUGCCCACGCUUGCCAAUAGGAAACAACCAAAGUUGAUAAUCUCACACACCUGCAGGUCCUGGAGCACAGCUGCUGCCCGUUUACCACUGCGCUGAAAGAGCACACGAGCAGCAGGGAAGACAUCGACCCAGUGGCUGCCUAACCUCUCUAACCCCCACAUACAGCAGGCAGGCAUCCCCUUUGUAGCUGGGGCUGAGGGGUCGCGGGCCAGACUGAGCAGCAGCUCAUGUGAAAUGGGGUCCACCAGGUUGAGAAAAGCAGC
Long non-coding RNA from Thunnus maccoyii (southern bluefin tuna), 939 nucleotides. RefSeq lists it as uncharacterized. The transcript is spliced from 3 exons. The record is from RefSeq and is a predicted model, not a curated record. Lineage: Eukaryota; Metazoa; Chordata; Actinopteri; Scombriformes; Scombridae.